RNAcentral lists this unclassified non-coding RNA (715 nucleotides) under Hevea brasiliensis (rubber tree). Lineage: Eukaryota; Viridiplantae; Streptophyta; Magnoliopsida; Malpighiales; Euphorbiaceae. The record is from RNAcentral.
UUUUGUGGUGUUGCCAAAAAGAAUGUAUUAGCUUUAAAUAUCUCAACGUACACAGUCCAUUAAGUGAAUGGCGCGGAAGUAAAAGAAGUAAAAAAUCAGUGAAUCGCAACCAAUCGUCAGACGAAGCUGGAUUAGAAGUAGGCAAUGGUCUUGACAUUUCUUUAACAGUAAACAAAAUUGUAGAAAAAGACACCUAGCAAGUACGAAAUUCUUCCCAAAAAAGAUACAAGCAAAAAGAGAUGAAAUAAACUAGUCUUCAUCCAUCCCUGCAGGCGGAUCUCUCUUUGGACCACCAGCUGGUUUUGCCAUUAUAAUCUGGUCUACCCGCAAUACAGUACAGGCAGCAUCUGCAGCAUAUUUGAGCGCAAAAAACUUUGUGACGUAAAGGUCCCAGAUAUUCAUGGUUGACAUAUCCUUACAAACACCUUCUUCCAAGUCAACACCCACUUUGGUAUUUCCAGAUGCAUGUUCAGCAUAAAGAGAUGAUAUGAUCUCCAUUGUAUUAAGACCAGCAUUCUCGGCCAGUGUUUUGGGUACCAUCUCAAAGCUCUCAGCAAAUUUUGCAAUAGCAUACUGAUCCAAUCCUGUUUCUUUAAAAGAGAAUUCCUUUAGUCUUCUAGCCAACUCAAUUUCAGUGGCUGCAGCUCCAAGUAUUAUUCGACUGUCUCUACACAUAGCCUUAUAGGUGUUAACUCCAUCAUCAACAGCUCUUUCA